Molecule: long non-coding RNA, 423 nt
Organism: Engraulis encrasicolus (European anchovy)
Lineage: Eukaryota; Metazoa; Chordata; Actinopteri; Clupeiformes; Engraulidae
Exons: 4
Source: RefSeq, a predicted model, not a curated record
UUUGGCUGUCCAAUCGCGUGACUGUGGACAUUUGAAAGCAGACUUCCGCCCGCCUUUUCUACCGUUGGAAAUGCAAGAUGCGGCGACUUGACUUCAGACACCGAGAGAGGCUGGCGGCCCAGGUCUUGUGGCCACAUCUGUCCAAGCUCCUACUCUGAUUGAACAGUUGGAUGAUCAGACUGAUGAUGAAAAGUGCUACACAGUUCUCACACAUCUUCUGACUCCGAAGCCGCUGCAGUGUAAAAUCUGAGAUGUCUUUUCUGGUUGAUUUUGUGCAGAUUUCUGACAGCGACAGCGAUGGUGAGGGAAGCAGUGUACCGAACUCUCAGAUGACUCGGACCAGGUGACCAAACCCAUGCAAAGCACAAUGUGAGUGUACACACACACACACACACACACACACACACACACACACACACACAC